This 253-nucleotide ribosomal RNA is filed under the name uncultured bacterium. RNAcentral's name for it is "partial 16S ribosomal RNA". It matches the Rfam family "Bacterial small subunit ribosomal RNA", at positions 524 to 776 of the family's 1533-position model. The record is from RNAcentral.
AACGUAGGUGGCGAGCGUUAUCCGGAAUUACUGGGCGUAAAGCGUGUGCAGGCGGGCUGACAAGUGGGGUAUGAAAUCUUGCGGCUUAACCGGGAGCGGUUAUGCCAGACUGUCAGUCUUGAGUGCGAGAGAGGAGCGUGGAAUUCCGGGUGUAGUGGUGAAAUGCGCAGAUAUCAGGAGGAACACCGAUGGCGAAGGCAGGUCUCUGGGCCACGACUGACGCUGAGGCGCGAAAGCCAGGGGAGCGAACGGG